AGAGUUUGAUCCUGGCUCAGAUUGAACGCUGGCGGCAGGCCUAACACAUGCAAGUCGAGCGGAAACGGCAGUAUUGAAGCUUCGGUGGAUUUACUGGACGUCGAGCGGCGGACGGGUGAGUAACGGCUGGGAACCUGCCCUGACGAGGGAGAUAACCGUUGGAAACGACGGCUAAUACCGCAUAAUGUCUACGGACCAAAGGUGGCCUCUACAUGUAAGCUAUCGCGUUGGGAUGGGCCCAGUUAGGAUUAGCUAGUUGGUAAGGUAAUGGCUUACCAAGGCGACGAUCCUUAGCUGGUUUGAGAGGAUGAUCAGCCACACUGGGACUGAGACACGGCCCAGACUCCUACGGGAGGCAGCAGUGGGGAAUAUUGCACAAUGGGGGAGACCCUGAUGCAGCCAUGCCGCGUGUGUGAAGAAGGCCUUCGGGUUGUAAAGCACUUUCAGCAGUGAGGAAGGUGGUGUACUUAAUAAGUGCAUGGCUUGACGUUAGCUGCAGAAGAAGCACCGGCUAACUCCGUGCCAGCAGCCGCGGUAAUACGGAGGGUGCGAGCGUUAAUCGGAAUUACUGGGCGUAAAGCGCAUGCAGGCGGUUUGUUAAGUCAGAUGUGAAAGCCCGGGGCUCAACCUCGGAACCGCAUUUGAAACUGGCAGGCUAGAGUCUUGUAGAGGGGGGUAGAAUUUCAGGUGUAGCGGUGAAAUGCGUAGAGAUCUGAAGGAAUACCAGUGGCGAAGGCGGCCCCCUGGACAAAGACUGACGCUCAGAUGCGAAAGCGUGGGUAGCAAACAGGAUUAGAUACCCUGGUAGUCCACGCCGUAAACGCUGUCUACUUGGAGGUUGAGGUUUAGACUUUGGCUUUCGGCGCUAACGCAUUAAGUAGACCGCCUGGGGAGUACGGCCGCAAGGUUAAAACUCAAAUGAAUUGACGGGGGCCCGCACAAGCGGUGGAGCAUGUGGUUUAAUUCGAUGCAACGCGAAGAACCUUACCUACUCUUGACAUCCAGAGAACUUUCCAGAGAUGGAUUGGUGCCUUCGGGAGCUCUGAGACAGGUGCUGCAUGGCUGUCGUCAGCUCGUGUUGUGAAAUGUUGGGUUAAGUCCCGCAACGAGCGCAACCCUUAUCCUUGUUUGCCAGCACGUAAUGGUGGGAACUCCAGGGAGACUGCCGGUGAUAAACCAGAGGAAGGUGGGGACGACGUCAAGUCAUCAUGGCCCUUACGAGUAGGGCUACACACGUGCUACAAUGGCAGAUACAGAGGGCAGCGAAGCUGCGAAGUGGAGCGAAUCCCUUAAAGUUUGUCGUAGUCCGGAUUGGAGUCUGCAACUCGACUCCAUGAAGUCGGAAUCGCUAGUAAUCGUGGAUCAGAAUGCCACGGUGAAUACGUUCCCGGGCCUUGUACACACCGCCCGUCACACCAUGGGAGUGGGCUGCACCAGAAGUAGAUAGCUUAACCUUCGGGAGGGCGUUUACCACGGUGUGGUUCAUGACUGGGGUGAAGUCGUAACAAGGUAACC
RNAcentral lists this ribosomal RNA (1515 nucleotides) under Salinivibrio costicola. Its description in RNAcentral is "bacterial SSU rRNA". It matches the Rfam family "Bacterial small subunit ribosomal RNA". The record is from RNAcentral. Lineage: Bacteria; Pseudomonadati; Pseudomonadota; Gammaproteobacteria; Vibrionales; Vibrionaceae.